UAGGGAAUAUUGGACAAUGGGGGCAACCCUGAUCCAGCCAUGCCGCGUGAGUGAAGAAGGCCCUCGGGUUGUAAAGCUCUUUUGUCCGGAAAGAAAAGCAUUCGGUGAAUACCCGGAUGUUCUGACGGUACCGGAAGAAUAAGCACCGGCUAACUUCGUGCCAGCAGCCGCGGUAAUACGAAGGGUGCAAGCGUUACUCGGCAUUACUGGGCGUAAAGCGUGCGUAGGUGGCUGGUUAAGUCUGAUGUGAAAGCCCUGGGCUCAACCUGGGAAUGGCAUUGGAAACUGGGCAGAUAGAGUGCGGUAGAGGGUAGUGGAAUUCCCGGUGUAGCAGUGAAAUGCGUAGAGAUCGGGAGGAACAUCUGUGGCGAAGGCGACUGCCUGGACCAGCACUGACACUGAGGCACGAAAGCGUGGGGAGCAAACA
This 427-nucleotide ribosomal RNA is filed under the name uncultured bacterium. RNAcentral's name for it is "bacterial SSU rRNA". It matches the Rfam family "Bacterial small subunit ribosomal RNA", at positions 355 to 774 of the family's 1533-position model. The record is from RNAcentral.